This 448-nucleotide ribosomal RNA is filed under the name uncultured bacterium. Its description in RNAcentral is "bacterial SSU rRNA". It matches the Rfam family "Bacterial small subunit ribosomal RNA", at positions 330 to 792 of the family's 1533-position model. The record is from RNAcentral.
GCCAGACUCCUACGGGAGGCAGCAGUGGGGAAUAUUGGACAAUGGGGGGAACCCUGAUCCAGCGACGCCGCGUGAGUGAAGAAGUAUUUCGGUAUGUAAAGCUCCAUCAGCAGGGAAGAAAGAAAUGACGGUACCUGACUAAGAAGCCCCGGCUAACUACGUGCCAGCAGCCGCGGUAAUACGUAGGGGGCAAGCGUUAUCCGGAUUUACUGGGUGUAAAGGGAGCGUAGACGGCGAUGCAAGUCUCAUGUGAAAUACCCGGGCUUAACUUGGGGGUUGCAUGGGAAACUGUAGAGCUUGAGUACAGGAGAGGCAAGCGGAAUUCCUAGUGUAGCGGUGAAAUGCAUAGAUAUUAGGAGGAACACCAGUGGCGAAGGCGGCUUGCUGGACUGAAACUGACGCUGAGGCUCGAAAGCGUGGGGAGCAAACAUGAUUAGAUACCCCUGUA